AUGCCUCCCAUGUAUUUCCCGCCGACCCCCGCACCAGCCGCCGCCUUCCCUCCACUAGUUUUUCCACCAAGCCCCGCACCGCUUCCAGCAUCAGCGAACCUGCCUCCUAUCAUCAUCCCGGACCACCCGGGCACCUACUUCCCGCCAAGCCCCGCGCCAGGUUCAGCACCAGCAGAUGGCAUGCCUCCGAUGUUACCAGCCGUCGCCUUCCCUCCUAUGUUCUUCCCGCCAAACCCCGCACCAUCAGAGGGGAUGCCUCCUACCCCAGCCGUCGCUUUCCCUCCGAUAUACUUGCCGCCGGCCCUUGCACCAGCGGAGGGGCCAUCCGUCACCAUCCCGGACGUGCCGGGGACCAGCGGCUUCAACAUAACGGAGUUCGUCGUCGUCGUUGGCUUAGGCACGCCGUCUCAACAAUCCGCUCUGAUGUUCGACACCGGCAGCGACCUGUCCUGGGUCCAGUGCCAGCCGUGCACGGGCCACUGUUACCAGCAAAACGACCCGCUCUACGACCCGACCAAGUCCUCCACCUACGACGUCGUGCAUUGCGGUACGCCAGAGUGCUCGGCGGCCGGUGGCAAGUGCAAUGGCACCACCUGUCUCUACAACAUCAACUAUGGUGACGGUUCAUCCACAUCUGGUGCGCUCUCACAGGAGACGCUGACGUUCUCCUCGUCGCGCAAGUUCUCCAGCUUCCCAUUCGGAUGCGGCACGACCAACCUGGGUGACUUUGGCAGCGUCGACGGGCUGCUUGGCCUUGGCCGUGGCCAGCUCUCGCUGGCCUCGCAGACGGCCUCCUCGUUCGACGGCACCUUCUCCUACUGCCUGCCUUCUCACAACAUGACGAGGCCCGGGUUCCUCAGCAUCGGCGCCUCCCCAGACACCGGCAAGGUCCAGUACACGGCGAUGAUCAAGAAGCCGCAGUACCCGUCCUUCUACUUCGUGGAGCUCGUGUCCAUCGACAUCGGUGGCUACGUCCUGCCGGUGCCGCCAUCCGUGUUCACCAGCAAGGGCACCCUACUCGACUCCGGCACCACGUUCACGUACAUCCCCGCGCAGGCCUACACCUUGCUCCGCGACCGGUUCAAGUUCACCAUGAAGGGGUACAAGCCGGCGGCGCCCUUCCAAGACCUCGACACGUGCUAUGACUUCUCUGGCCAAAGCGUGAUCUUCCAACCAGGGAUGUCCUUCAAGUUCAGUGAUGGAGCCGUGUUCGAUAUCGACAUCUUUGGGGUCAUGAUAUACCCUUAUGUAGACCACCCGGCCAUCGGGUGCUUCGCGUUUGCGUCGAGUGAUCCCACGGAUCAGUUCUCCAUCAUCGGCAACACUCAGCAGCGUUCUGCUGAGGUGAUCUACAACGUCGUAGCCGAGAAGAUUGGUUUUGUUCCGCUGAGUUGCUGA
This 1398-nucleotide ribosomal RNA is filed under the name Triticum aestivum (bread wheat). RNAcentral describes it as "partial small subunit ribosomal RNA". The record is from RNAcentral. Lineage: Eukaryota; Viridiplantae; Streptophyta; Magnoliopsida; Poales; Poaceae.